AGUAGCUCAGCGGUAGAGCAGCUGACUGUUAAUCAGCGGGUCAUAGGUUCGAAUCCUAUCU
Molecule: transfer RNA, 61 nt
Filed under: marine eukaryotic metagenome
Rfam family: tRNA
About the family: Transfer RNA (tRNA) molecules are approximately 80 nucleotides in length. Their secondary structure includes four short double-helical elements and three loops (D, anti-codon, and T loops).
Source: RNAcentral